UCCCUGUGUGUUUCCGCUGGUUUGACUCUGAGUGUCCGCGGCUCGGUUCGGUCUCUGUGGCUCUGCUGUGUGUGUUUGCGGACAUUUAGACACCGAAAACUGCCUGAAAUAAACUUUUCCCCUCUCAGGUCUGUGGACGGACAACUCGCCUCGCGGAUUAACGACUUUUACCGGACGAUGACAGGGUUUAGGAGGAUGUCAGAGCAGAUCAGAAGGUUCCGCUGAAGGUCUGGUGAUGGAUCGAUCUCAGAGCCUCCUCCUGAAUGAGGAGGCGCUCGGUCAGAUUGGAGAACAUCAGCGAGCUGAGUUCGUGUUCGAAUGGCUGACCCACCUGAAGACGCUGCUGCCAGCCGCUGACCGGGUCGACAUCAGGCAGAACCAGCGGCGCCUCAUCGACCAGUUAUCGGCCAUUCUGAUUGGCUCUCCUGGCCCGCCGACCCGCUGGCUGCUGGCCCACUGCCUGGCCCUGCUGUACCGGCUGGGAGACCCCAUCCCUUCCAGUUUAAUGGUGGAGAGGUGCAAUGACAUCAUCAGGAGCAAAGAUGAUUCACCGUCAGGCCUCCCGACUCGACUGGCAGCCAUCGCAUGUCUCGGUUCUCUCUAUGAGCAGCUCGGUCGGAUGCUGGUCGGUUCCUUCAAAGAUACUCUCGUGAAUCUGCUGAAGGCCAUGAAGAGUGCAGAGUCUCAGGGUCGCUAUGAGAUCAUGCUGAGCAUUGAGAAGAUCCUCAGAGGUUUAGGCGUGAGCGCCGUGUCGAGCCACCGUGACGUCUACAAGGCGGCGAGGGCGUGUCUGACGGACCGAUCCAUGGCCGUACGCUGCGCUGCCGCUAAGUGUUUGCUGGAGCUGCAGAGGGAAGCCGUGUUCCUGUGGACCAGCGAGUUGGAGAACGUGGCCACGCUCUGCUUCAGAGCCUUCGAGGGUUCCAACUACAACGUCAGAGUUUCAGUGUCCGAGCUGCUGGGAACUCUGCUGGCUGCAGCCGUGGAGCCGAGACAGUCCACCGCAGCCCCCAGGCAGGGCGGUAAGGGGCGGAGCUCCCUGGAGGAAGUGAUGGACUUGUUGUCGGCCGGUUUCCUGCGAGGCGGCGGCGGUUUCCUGCGAACUAGUGGAGACAUGUUGAAGGGGACGAGUUCUGUCAGCAAAGACAUCCGGAUCGGAGUCACUCAGGCCUGUGUGGUUUUCGUCUCCACCCUCGGAGGCUCCUGGUUGGAGGCAAACUUCGCGGCCUUCCUGUCGCUGCUGAUGGAGCUGGCGUCCCACGGCAGGGCGACCCAGACGCCGGUGGACGCCGCUGUGACCCGUCGCUGCGUCUCCUUCAUCCUGAGGAGCACUCUGGGGUCUCUGCUGGGGGAGAAGGCUCAGACCAACGCCGCCAAGCAGAUCUGCAUCGCCGUGGCAUCGCAGAAACGAACCAUCGAUGCAGCUCUCACCGACGGUAACGUAGAAACCAGAGUUUCUUCUGCCGACGUCUCGGCCAGUCAGCAUGUGCUGGUCUGCUGCCUGCUGGAACUGGGAGCUCUGGUUCAGGGACUGGGAUCUACGGCUGCCCCCCUCCUCACCGACACCACCACAGCCCUCCUGGACUCGGUCGUCUCCGUCCUCCUCCAUCCCGUCGCUUCGGCUCGACUCGCCGCCGCCUGGUGCCUCCGCUGCGUCGUCAUGGCGAUGCCAUCCCAGUGUUCCCCGCUGUUGGACCGCUGUGCUGAGCGACUGGUGGCGCUGAAAUCUUCCCCCGAGGCCGUGGCCGGGUACGGGGCUGCUGUCGCCGCCCUGGUGGCCGCUGUGCAGCACUGCCCUCUGGGAAUACCGCAUACGAAGGGCAAGGUGGUUCUGGGUCUGGCUGAGGAUCUUCUCCGUUCAGCUUCUCAGAACAGUCGUAUUUCUCUGCAGAGGACUCAGGCCGGCUGGAUGCUCGUCUCCUCCCUCAUCACUCUGGGUCCUGCGGUGGUUGAACACCAUCUCUCCCGCCUCCUCCUCCUCUGGCGUUGUGUUUUUCCUGCUUCUCUCAGAGAGCAGGACAUGGAGCUGAGGAGGGGGGACUACUUUACGUGGCAGGUUACGCUGGAGGGACGGGCUGGGGCGCUCUGCGCCAUGAAGAAUCUUCUGCUGCACUGCAGAGAGCUGGUCACUGAUGACAUCAUCAGCCGUCUGGUCACGCCAUUGGCCUGCGCUGUCGCCCUGCUCAGCAAGCUGCCGGCUCUGCUCAGGUCCUACGGUAGCUCGGUUCGUUGUUUCUCCGUCGUCUACAGACUCAGAGUUUACGAGCUUCUCUCUCUGCUGCCUCCAAACACCUACCAAGAGAGUUUCGGUUUGGUGAUGAACCAGCUGGUCUCUGAUCUGUCCGGUCAGGACAACCUCAACCAGCCGUGUUCUGACCUCACGCUGCUGCCGCCGCUCUGUCACCAUGACGACCUGCCGCUGGUCGGCCCCGCCCUCCAUGACACCGACCACCGAUACAUCGAGGAGCAGCUCCACGGCAGCAUUGUGGGCGGAGCCUCUCUGGACAACGACCCCUUCAGUCUCUGUGAUCGAGGUGAUGAAGCUCCAGCUCCUCUUCCUCCUCACGUCGCUCUGACCGCCGCCUCCACAACUCUGUUUGGAGUCCUGUUCCCCCACAUCAUCUCUGCCCAGAGAGUGAAGAUUCUGGAGCAGUUUGUGGAAACGGUGAAUCAGCUGAAAGGUCAACGGCAGCAGACGGUCCAGACUCAUGUGUGUGCUGCCCUCUGCAGUCUGUUAAAGCACCAGGGCAGCGUCCGAGGCUCGCUGGGUCCAGAGGACGUCCGCUCCCCGGCCUUGUCCCUCCUGUCGGGGGCGCUGGAGAGCAGCAGUCCUCUGAUCCGCUGCCUGGCUGCUGAAGGUUUGGCUCGGCUGGUCCAGGUGGUCGGAGACCCCGGGUUCACCGCCUCCGUCUCUCUGCUCUGCUUCGACAGGCUGAAGACGGCUCGUGAUGCUGCGUCUCGUAGCGGCUACGCUCUGGCUCUGGGGGCGCUGCAGAGAUACACCGGAGGAAUCGGCUCACCUCAACACCUGUCCACCUGUCUGGGAGUUCUGUUCACGCUGAGCCAGGACAGCACCUCACCUGAAGUCCAGACCUGGUCCCUCCACAGCCUGUCCCUGGUGGUGGACCUGUCCGGCUGCCUCUAUCGGACCCACGCCGAGCCGUCCUUCUCCCUGGUGCUCCGCCUGCUGCUGUCCACGCCGCCCACCCACCCCGAGGUUCACCACAGCCUGGGUCGCUGCCUGCACGGCCUCAUCACCUGCCUGGGCCCCGACCUGCAGGGUGACGGAGCGGCCGAGCUUCGGUCCAGCUGUCUGGUGGGAUGUGGGGUGAUGCAGGCCGGUCCAGACUGUCUGGUUCAGGCCAGAGCCAUCUCCUGUCUGCAGCAGCUGCACAUGUUCUCACCUCCACAUGUGAACCUGGCCAGCCUCGUACCGGCCCUCUGCGAGAUCUUGUUGGAUUAUUCCGUGUUGGCCAACCUGUGCAGCUCCUUCCUGUGUUUACGGAGAGCUGUGGUGGCCUGUCUGAGGCAGCUGGUCCAGCGGGAGGCGCUAGAGGUUUCUGAACACGCCGUCGCUCUGGUCAAAGAGCUGCCGAGACGAGACAACACGCAGCUCGACGUCACCAUAAAGGAGGUGGGUCUGGAAGGAGCUCUGUUCACUCUGCUGGACCGAGAGUCUGAUCCAGGACUGAGGAGGGACAUCCAGGAGACUCUGGUCCACAUGAUGGCCUCCAGCAGCAGACUGGCUCACUGGCUCAAACUCUGCAAGGACGUUCUGUCGGCGACCACCGACAGCCGGUCGCCAUUGGAGACGAGUCAGGAGGACGACGACGGUUGCCGAGACGACGACUCGUCUGCGUUCAGAGCGCGCUCAGAGAGCAGCGGUCCGUUCACGGCGCUGCGCUGGGCGACCCGACGCUUCGCCGUGGAGUGCGUCUGUCGGAUCAUCGCCCAGUGCGAGUCGGCCGACCCCGCCCACUUUGACAUGGUUCUGGCUCAGGAGAGGCGGCUGCUCGAGUCCACAGACUUCCUGGUCCUCCAUCUUGGAGACCUGGUCCGGAUGGCCUUCAUGGCAGCGACGGAUCACAGCGACCCGCUCAGACUGGCCGGACUCCAGACGCUGCUGGUGAUCAUCAGACGGUUCUCCUCCAUCCCAGAACCGGAGUUCCCGGGUCACGUGAUCCUGGAGCAGUACCAGGCCAACGUUGGAGCUGCUCUCAGACCGGCCUUCAGUCCUGAUGCUCCUCCUGACGUCACUGCUAAAGCCUGCCAGGUGUGCAGCGCCUGGAUCGCCAGCGGCGUCGUCAGUGACCUCAGAGAUCUCCGCCGCGUCCACCAGCUGCUGGCCUCCUCAUUGGCUAAAGUCCAGAGUGGGCGGGACCCCGGCAGCCAGCUGUACAACGAGGCGGCCGCUACCAUGGAGACGCUGGCUGUUCUCAAAGCCUGGGCCGAGGUUUACAUUGUAGCGGUGGAGAGCAGCAGACUGAAGGAGAGUCCUGAUAGGUCGGCAGACCCGUCUGUCUCCUCCUCGACCAAUGACGGCUCAGGCUGUGAGUCGGGAGGGGCAGGGCUCCUGAAGCUGGUCCAAUCAGAUCUGUCAACGCUGAGCCGUCUGUGGUUGGCGGUGCUGCAGGAUUACGCUCUGCUGACCCUCCCCCAGGAGAACACGGCUCAGAUACCUGCAUCAGGAGGAGCUUUCUACACAGCAGAGACGGUGAACCAGGCCAGAGCUCAUUACUCCUCCUGCUGGGCUCCGGUUCUUCAGGCUUCGUCUCUCUGGCUGCAUAGCUCAGGCUUCCUUAUGGCAGACGACACACCUGCCAACCUGUCCAGACCGGCCACGCCCACCUCCAUGGGCCACACCGGCUCAGUGGGCGGAGCCAAGAGUCCCGAAGACGUCAACACCGACAGGCUGCACCUGAUACUGGGGAUCAGUGUGGAGUUUCUCUGUUCUCCACAUUCUGAAGACCAGAUGGAGAACAUCACUUCCUGUCUCAGAGCUCUGCAGGCGCUGCUGGACGUCUCCUGGCCUCGAGCAAAGAUCGGAAAUGACCAGGCUCUGAGCGUGGAGCUGCUCAGCGUCCUCCACAGACUGAUGGUGACCAGAGAGUCGGCGUCCGUUCAGCUCGCCGUGUUGGAUUUACUGCAGCAGAUCGUGACGGCGGCUCAGGAGCACGUCAGGGAGAAACGUCACUCUGCUGAAGUGGACGACGGAGCUGCAGAGAAGGAAACGCUGCCGGAGUUCGGAGAAGGACGAGACACCGGAGGUUUGAUUCCCGGUCGAUCGCUGGUGUUUGGAGCUCUGGAGCUCUGUCUCUGUGUUCUGGUCCGGAAACUCCCACAGCUGAGCCCAAAACUGGCCGGGACCAGUCCGACCGGUUGUGGGUCUUCAGCCUGGACUCUGACUGACAGUGAUUGUCGUCUCGUAUCCUCUGCGGUUUCUGUCCUCUCUGAGCUGCCGUCCGUCUGCUCUCCUGAAGGAAGUGUCUCCAUCCUCCCAACUGUCCUCUAUCUGCUGCUGGGAGUCCUCAGAGAGCUGGUACACCAGCGCAGCACACACACAGCUGCCCCGGCGGCGGGCUCUGGAGCCGGUCUGGGUUUGGUGGUCCAGGCGACUCUUCAGGCCCUGAAGUCGGUUCUGACGUCUCCGAUGAGUCGACAGGAGAAAAGCCGAGGAUCCUGGAAGCUGCUGCUGAGAUCAGCUCUGAGCACUCUGCUGACCCUCUGGGACUCUGGUUCUUCAGACUGCGCCGUGGACCAGAUCAGCCUCCUCACCGCUCUCACCGUCUUCCUGCUGUCGGCCGGUCCAGAUGUUUGCAUCGUGGAGCCUCUGCACGCGCUCAGUCUGCAGCGCUUCACCGCCAGCAUGGAGUCCAAAGAGCCGCUGGUGGUGAGUCGAUGCUACCAGCUGCUAACGUCGGUGUUUCAGGCUCCUCCGGCCGUCUCCGUCCCGUUUAUCCAGGCCCUGGGCCCGGUUCUGGUCCGGUUCCUGCAGCAGGUGGAACGGCGCCGACCUCAGAGUCCAGAAGAACUAAACGGAGUUCUGGAGGGAAUCAGAGCCAUGGAGGCUUUGAUCCAGACAGCAGAGGAGGCACAGCGUUCUCACCUCGUCUCCUUCCUGCUUCCUCUCCUCAUCUCCUUCCUAUUGGAUGAAAACGCUCUUGGCUCCGCCCCCUCGGCAUCCCGGUCGCUGCACGAGGCGGCGCUCAAAGACCUGAUGAGACUCGGACCCCAACACCCAGCAGUAUUCAGGUAGGGUCAGUGAAUGCAUCAUUAACACCCAGUAGUGUUCAGGUAGGGUCAGUGAACGCAUCAUUAAAACACCCAGCAGUGUUCAGGUACGGUCAGUGAACGCAUCAUUAACACACCCAGCAGUGUUCAGGUAGGGUCAGUAAACCUAUCAUUAAAACACCCAGCAGUGUUCAGGUACGGUCAGUGAACGCAUCAUUAACACACCCAGCAGUGUUCAGGUAGGAUCAGUGAACGCAUCAUUAACACCCAGCAGUGUUCAGGUAGGGUCAGUGAACGCAUCAUUAACACACCCAGCAGUGUUCAGGUAGGGUCAGUGAACGCAUCAUUAACACACCCAGCAGUGUUCAGGUACGGUCAGUGAACGCAUCAUUAACACACCCAGCAGUGUUCAGGUACGGUCAGUGAACGCAUCAUUAACACCCCGUAGUGUUCAGGUAGGGUCAGUGAACGCAUCAUUAACACACCCAGCAGUGUUCAGGUAGGGUCAGUGAACGCAUCAUUAACACCCAGUAGUGUUCAGGUAGGAUCAGUGAACGCAUCAUUAACACCCAGCAGUGUUCAGGUAGGGUCAGUGAACGCAUCAUUAAAACACCCAAUAGUGUUCAGGCAGGGUCAGUGAACGCAUCAUUAACACACCCAGCAGUGUUCAGGUACGGUCAGUGAACGCAUCAUUAAAACACCCAGCAGUGUUCAGGUAGGGUCAGUGAACGCAUCAUUAACACACCCAGCAGUGUUCAGGUAGGGUCAGUGAACGCAUCAUUAACACACCCAGCAGUGUUCAGGUACGGUCAGUGAACGCAUCAUUAAAACACCCAGCAGUGUUCAGGUAGGGUCAGUGAACGCAUCAUUAAAACACCCAGCAGUGUUCAGGUAGGGUCAGUGAACGCAUCAUUAACACCCAGCAGUGUUCAGGAAGGGUCAGUGAACGAAUCAUUAACACCCAGUAGUGUUCAGGCAGGGUCAGUGAACGCAUCAUUAACACACCCAGCAGUGUUCAGGCAGGGUCAGUGAACGCAUCAUUAACACACCCAGCAGUGUUCAGGUACGGUCAGUGAACGCAUCAUUAAAACACCCAGCAGUGUUCAGGUAGGGUCAGUGAACGCAUCAUUAAAACACCCAGCAGUGUUCAGGUAGGGUCAGUGAACGCAUCAUUAACACACCCAGCAGUGUUCAGGUACGGUCAGUGAACGCAUCAUUAAAACACCCAGCAGUGUUCAGGUAGGGUCAGUGAACGCAUCAUUAAAACACCCAGCAGUGUUCAGGUAGGGUCAGUGAACGCAUCAUUAACACCCAGCAGUGUUCAGGAAGGGUCAGUGAACGAAUCAUUAACACCCAGUAGUGUUCAGGCAGGGUCAGUGAACGCAUCAUUAACACACCCAGCAGUGUUCAGGUACGGUCAGUGAACGCAUCAUUAAAACACCCAGCAGUGUUCAGGUAGGGUCAGUGAACGCAUCAUUAACACACCCAGCAGUGUUCAGGCAGGGUCAGUGAACGCAUCAUUAACACACCCAGCAGUGUUCAGGUAGGGUCAGUGAACGCAUCAUUAAAACACCCAGCAGUGUUCAGGUAGGGUCAGUGAACGCAUCAUUAAAACACCCAGCAGUGUUCAGGUAGGGUCAGUGAACGCAUCAUUAACACACCCAGCAGUGUUCAGGUAGGGUCAGUGAACGCAUCAUUAACCUUCUUGAGGUCAUUCUUUGAAUUAUUUUGAGUCAUUAGAUCAAUUUUUGUGCCAUUUGUGACACAUUUUGGUAAUUUUGGACAUUCUUCGUUUGUUUUUGAAGGUUUAAGUCAUUUUGAAACAACUUUUGAUUAAGUUUCUGGUAUUUCAGACGCAUUUUGAGUCAUUGAGGACAAAUUUUU
This is an RNA transcript of Acanthochromis polyacanthus (spiny chromis), 8115 nucleotides long. It is a transcript of the gene named HEAT repeat containing 5a, with no coding region annotated. Lineage: Eukaryota; Metazoa; Chordata; Actinopteri; Pomacentridae. The record is from RefSeq and is a predicted model, not a curated record. The transcript has 43 exons.